UAGGGGGAGCUAUCCCGGCGGGCCGCGCGUGCGGCCGCGUUUGAAUGGCCCUGAGUGGGCUCGGCCGGGGACCCGAGGGAUAGUCUGGGCUGCCGGGGCGCAGUCGGUCAGCGCCUGGGUUAGGCGGAGGCGCCGCGGUACCAUGAGGCGCAGGUAUUUAAGAGAUUAUGGCAUCUGAAACCCACAAUGUUAAAAAACGCAACUUUUGUAAUAAUAUUGAAGAUCAUUUCAUUGAUGUUCCUAGAAAAAGGAUCUCUAAUUUCACUAAUAAGAACAUGAAGGAGGUUAAGAAAUCUCCAAAACAGUUGGCUGCUUACAUAACUAGAACAGUUGGACAAGCUGUGAAAAGCCCAGAUAAACUACGUAAGGUGAUCUAUCACAGAAAGAAAGUUCAUCAUCCUUUUCAAAAUCCUUGCUACAGAAAAAAGCAGUCCCCCAACAGCGGGGGCUGUGACAUGGCAAAUAAAGAGAAUGAGCUGGCUUGUGCAGGCCGCCUCCCUGAGCAAGUGCGGCAGGGUAGUCGACCAUAUCUAGUUAGCCCCAGUGAUUCUGGUUCUUCACAGGCAGAAAGCCCAUCAUCAAAAUAUAGUGGGUUUUUUUCUGAGGUUUCUCAGGACCAUGAAACAAUGGCACAGGUUUUGUUCAGCAGGAAUUUGAGAUUGAAUGUAGCUUUAACUUUCUGGAGAAAGAGAAGUAUAAGUGAACUUGUAGCUUAUUUGGUGAGGAUAGAAGACCUUGGAGUUGUGGUGGAUUGCCUUCCUGUGCUCACCAAUAGUUUACAGGAGGAAAAACAAUACAUCUCACUUGGCUGCUGUGUAGACUUGUUGCCUCUAGUAAAGUCACUACUUAAAAGCAAAUUUGAAGAAUAUAUAAUAGUUGGUUUAAACUGGCUUCAAGCAGUCAUAAAAAGGUGGUGGUCAGAACUAUCAUCCAAAACAGAAAUUAUAAAUGAUGGAAAUAUUCAGAUUUUAAAACAACAAUUAAGUGGAUUGUGGGAACAGGAAAACCAUCUUACUUUGGUUCCAGGAUAUACUGGUAAUAUAGCCAAGGAUGUAGAUGCUUAUUUAUUACAGUUGCAUUGAGAGACUUCGUCUACUAAAUAGCAUUUGGUUAUUCAAAGCAUCCCUGGACUAUAUGAUUUCCCAAAAAAAUGUCAACCGAGAACUGUGAACUGUGGAAGAAGUCAAAACCAUUUUUUCCUUUAAAAAGCCACAUAAUGAAACCACUAAUGAAACGCUAAGGAUCUACUUCACAUUGAAGUGGAAAAAUAUCCAAAAGGAGCAGCUUCAACUUUAAUGAGGUCCUGGACCUGGCCAAGACGGUUGUGGCACUAUGGAUUUAUACAAAAGCUCAGAAGAGUUGAUCCAGCUAGAGUGAGAGUCCUGGGAUACACUGAAUUGCUACAAUUACUAGCUUCUAGAAUUACUGUAUUGCAUUUAUUAACCAAACUUGCAACAUGGGGCCUGGAUUGGAAUUAGACUUCACUUCCCAGAAGUCAGGAGCAGAAUUUACAUCCAUUUACUUUUCUACUUUCAUUUGAAAAAGAAAGUGAGGGGGAGGAGGAGAAAGAGAGAGAAAUGUAAAAACUUCAUUAGAUCUCUGCAUGAAUUAGUUGAACCAGUGAAUGAGGACCUGCGUCACCUCUCAUUUGCCCUGCAGUAACCCGCUGGUUCCUCACUGUACACCUGUAGCUUAGGCCCAACGGCAGCAAGAGAAAUGCAAGUUAACACCUUCCUUUUAGGUAGGUUCCAAAGCUUACAAAAGGUUUAGAAGAUGCUUAUCUUCCCCCCCUUUGCCAUCCAGAUUCCUUUCCCCUUACUUAGAAUAUAGAUGACAAGAAAUCAGUGAAGGGGAGAAACCAGUUCACUUUUCAAUCUCUUGAAGCCCCCCCCACCCCCGGCCUCUCCCUUAGAUAUAGGUAUUCUUCAAGGUUCUGUCUUAGGUUCUUUUCUCUUCUCCCUCUGCCAUUUCCCUGAAAAAAACAUUGUUUAUUCCCGUGGCAUCCUUUAUCAUCCACAUUAAUUGUUCUCAUUUGGGGAACAGAAGGGAGGUCAUUUUUUGACUGAUCAAAUAGGCAUGGAUCUUUUUUUUAAGGUUGAGAAAACACUGAAUUGUAUGUUUAUCAUUCUCAAAUGUAUAUCUUGCCCUAAACCCAACUCAGCACAUACACUAUAUAUCCAAUUGCCUACUGGAAACAUCCACUGGGAUUAUCUUGUAGACAUCCUAAAUAAAGUGUACCCAGAUUUGACCUCACCCUCCACCUCCACUCCCUUGCCCCGAACCUGCCCCCCAACCCCCUCUCCUACCACCACCCAGGGAGAUAGAAGUGUUGUGUCUGGGUCUUGGAUUUCCAUUCUUAUUGAGUAUUCCUAAUAUCAACAAUUAUCAAGCCACAACCCCAUGAGUCAUCUUUGAAUCAUCUCCAAAUCGCUCAUCACAUCCUGUUGGUACAACCCCCUAAAUUUCUCUCAUCUGCCGCAUCCCUCCACUUCUGCCAUUACUUAGUCUACAUUAUUCCAGCAGCCUCCUGACUGCCCUCUCUGGCAUUCGUCCUGCAUCCCUACAACCUAUUCUCCACACGUGCUCCCCCAGAAUAGUCUAUAGAGCACAAAUUUUACCGUGUCACUCCUUAAGGCCACUUAGGAGAGAGUCUAAACAGUAUGGUUUACAAUCUCGACAGUGCCACCUUUCUCCCUUCCCCUCCCGAUGCUCCAGCUAGAAUGAACUUGUUUCAGUUUCUGAAAAACAUUACACUUCUUCUGCAAGGGUUGUUUUCCUGAACACUCUUCUCCCAAAGUUCACCCAUUUAUCAUGUUCUUAGCCUUCAGGUCUCAGCUUAAACACAGUAUUUCUCGGAGACUUCUCUGAAGCCUCUUCAGCUAUUAGAGGUCUCUGCCACAAGUCUUUCACCUCAACCCUGUUUUUAACUCUGUAGUGUAUUGUAAUUGCUUAUUAUCUGUCUUCCCAGGUAGACUGAUAGCUUUAGGAGGCCAGGGUCUGUGUUCUCUGUCACAUCCCCAGUACCUAGCAUUUACCUAGCCUACCAGUAGUAGGCAUUUAAUUCUUAGGAAUAAAAAUGCAAGGGUGUGGCAUCUUUGGGCAUACACUGUGAGGAAGUAAUUUAGUAGUACAAAGCUAUUGUGUGAUAGCAUAGCAGCUAAAAAUGAGUAGUUAUAGAAUCAAAAUAUCCAAUUUUCUUCUCUCGCUUUUUUGUUUUAUGAAAUUGGUUUGUAAAUGUUCAUGCUGCA
This is an RNA transcript of Physeter macrocephalus (sperm whale), 3248 nucleotides long. It is a transcript of the gene named katanin regulatory subunit B1 like 1, with no coding region annotated. Lineage: Eukaryota; Metazoa; Chordata; Mammalia; Artiodactyla; Physeteridae. The transcript has 11 exons. The record is from RefSeq and is a predicted model, not a curated record.